GUGGGUUAGGAGCCCAGUUCUGCACGUGGGUGGCGCGUUGAGUGAAGUUUGGUUUCUAGAAUUUUGUGUUAAUUAAAAAAGUUGGUGGCAAUCUGAUAUCAAUAGGGAAUUUGUUAAUUAAAAUAUAGUUAUGCACAUAUGAUAGAAUAUUUUGCAGCCCCGCCCACGCACAUCAGAAAUAAAAAAAUUCUUUUUGGUUUCUUUGCAAUAAUAGUACCAAUACUCUCUCCUUGAACUGUGCUGUUAUUUAUGGCUGGCGGGCAAGCUGUUAAAUCAAAGCUUUGCGGGUGAGACAAGAGCAGUUUCUUUCCGCAGGUCGAAUUAGAUUUAGGAACAAGCUGUGGAUAAAAUGACAGAAGGGUAAUGAUGAGUGAGCUUUCUUUGGGCCAAGUGGGUCUGUGAUAGGAGCUGGUGUGGUGGUCACUUGCAAAAGAACUCUCCUUAAGAAGGUCUUCUCCCAGAGGCGAGGAGCCCUCUGCAGAGGGGGUUAGGGCUGUACAGUUAAGAUGCAGAAGUUGAGGGGGUGUUGUUAGGGGCUUGCUGGAGGAGAGGCAUUGAAUGAGGAACCUCUGAAAAUGCUCCACAGAAAGAAUCAGCCCUGCGAACUUGCCACACCUGGAAGGCGCCACUGUUCUCCGGGUUUCCCAGGCGGGAGUCAGAGGACAAUUCGCAGCUACUCCUGAACUGCAAGCUCUCUGAGGGAUCCUGCGCAGAUCCCCUUCCCUAAGCUUGAAGCUAGAGGCAGGCCUCAGACACCCACCCACUGCCUUCGGUGGAGGCUCAUCAGGGCUCUCUACGCUUAGCCUUUCACGUCUUCGUUAUAGGCAGGAUGAUGGAUUCAAGGAGUUUUAAGCCAUAUCCUCCUUUGCAAAUGCACCAGGAUGGUCUGGUUCGCUACUCAUUUUGAAAUAUUGAUUCAUGCCUCCCGAAGAGGAAGAGUUCUGGUUUGAUGCUGCAGCAUUGUGCAAAUCAACUUGCAGGAGCAAGCAAACCUUUCAUGGAAGAGAAGAGCUUGCUCAACUCUUGCAGAAACUGAGGCUACCGCUAGAUUCAGACUUGUCCAAAUCCUGGUUCCACCCACGGGCAGAGCUCAGUUCUAAGCAGUUCUUUCUCAGUGUGCUUCCUGUGGGUGCCAUUAUAUUGAGAGAGCUGAAUUCAAAGGAGUGCCAGCAGAGGGGAACUGUGUCCUUCCCUAUUGACUAUCUCAGGCAGAUCCUGUAACUUCUUUAGUCAUCUCAGAUAAUAAAAAGUCCUCAAGUCGUUUUCAGACCCAAGGGUAAUCUUUGAGUAAUUAAAAUUCUAGUUGAGUGUCAUCAUGAUGUAACAGCUUUCCCUUAUCCAUUUGAAAGCUCGUUUGCACCUUCGUUUCAAGCCUGAUUAAAAAAAUAUCAAACCACACAGAAGAGUUUAUUAAAAAAGCAAUAGUCACCUGCCCCACCCCUCUCCCCAUCCUCAGGCUCACCGCCCAAGAAGGAGCCGUUGAUAAACUCUUGUUCGUUUUUGUGUUUGAGUGGUAAAUUUUAGUUGUAGGCAAAUUUACUUCAACCUCAGCUUCUCAGUUAGUACUCAGGUUCUCCCACCUGGCAGUGUUAAUGUUUUGGAGAAAUGAGGGGAGACCCCUUACAGACAAGCUGCGGCACUUGAGCCCUCUCACCUGGACCUUGCCCCGCUGAUGGUUUUGAGACAGCAGGUAAACUGAAGGCCUGUAUGAAGCACCAGAACUCCAGGCUUGCUGCUGUGGUUUUUUUUAAGGCCAUUUGUUUAAAAGCUUUUUAAAAAUAGGAGUGAUGGUUUGUCAGAAGUCAUGCUUUGGUAACUUUUUGGACCCAAAAGCCUGCUCUUGUAAGCCUGGCUGCGGUAGUAUUUGCAUGCAUUGGGUGUGGCUUUGAUUGCACUGCACUCAUGUGUUUGUUAAGUCUGUCUCUUGGGAGCAAUGCUCCUCCUGUGCCUUACUGUGUACAAAGAAUUGACUCAGUACAGCUUGUGCUGCCUUAAGACCAAGACCCUGACAGCGGACCCUCCUUGCUCUUUUAGCCACGCCUUCUGAGGCAGCUCUUCUGCAAGUCUGAGUUCUUAAUGAAGAUGUGUGCUUCAAUGUGCCAAUUUCUUCAAGCACUUUUAACAAUGAAGGCACUUCCCAGCCUCCCUGUGCAGAGGAACACUGGACACACUUUAGCACUAUGCUUGGGGCCCUGUGAAAGCACCACAAAAAGCACAACAAUGUGGAAAACGUGGCACUAAAUAAACCAUGGAAAGGACAUUUGUUUACAGGAUGAGAUCUGAAACAAGAAGGCAGAACAUCGCCUUGUUCAACCUCAGCUGGGAACGCGAGCAUUGGGCAACUCAGAAUUCACCCUGCUUUUCAAAUGUCAGUGAAUGAAGCCAAGAGUUCCUGAGUAUUGAUUUUGGGAGAUACAAACAAGUUUUAGCAAAUAGACAAAUUUAGGGGCUGGCCCUGUGGCAGAGUGGUUAAGUUCACACGCUCUGCUUUGGCGGCCCAGGGUUUCGCUGGUUUGAAUUCCAAAAGGUGCUUCCCAGACCAGUGUUAAAUGGGUGCUGAGCUAUGAGGAUUCUGUGGGAAGUCAGUUUGGGAAAUGCUGAUGUCAAGAAAUCCUCUGUGUCUCUGGUAUUUGAAAAAAGCCAGUGCUUCCGAUUCUUAUAGUUAGGCUUUGAUGGGAACAGACUCACUUGUGCCAAAAUAGAGGCCAGAACCAGCAUCCCUUUUGCAGUUGUAUAUUUUGUGUUUUGUUAUCUUGCUUUUCCAAGCUCUCAUAGCCCAUUUUACUGCAUCUCAUUAGAUGGGGCACAAUUUCAUCUUUUU
This 2821-nucleotide long non-coding RNA is filed under the name Equus asinus (donkey). RNAcentral's name for it is "lncRNA (ENSEASG00005037519.1)". The record is from RNAcentral. Lineage: Eukaryota; Metazoa; Chordata; Mammalia; Perissodactyla; Equidae.